GCCAGAGCGCGCGGCUGGGGACCUGAUGGGAGUGAACCGGCCAGUCCAGGCUCCGCCCCGAAACGCAGCCCCAGGCCCCUCCCCGACGCCCACACCCGGACGCGUCCCCACUUCGCCUUUGUUCUUGCCACCUAGUGGUCCCGCCGUGGCCCUGCAACGACCUCCCGCCUCCCGCUGGGCUCCAAACCAAGCAGACCACGGCCAGGGCUAGAUUGAUUGCAACGCGACACUUUCAGCGACUGCAAAAAUAACAUUUAAUAUGAAACACGCAGAAGAGAAAGCCUGAAGAAAGAAAUCUCUUCCCCUUCCCCGAGAUUACUACUGUCAAUUUUCUGGAGAGAGGAAAGAGAUGGAAACAUCAAUGAUGAGAACCAUCGACCAGCAGCCUCCUGCUUGUCUCCUACUUGGGGGAUCGAGCCCGCAACCCAGGCAUGCGCCCUGACCGGAAAUGGAACGGGGACCUCCAGGUUCAUAGGUCGAGGCUCAACCACUGAGCCACGCCCAUCAGACCUCAAUCAACCAGCAUUCUCCACUAGGAAACUGAUCCUGGAAAGGCCAAAGGUCUUUGAGUGUCUAAAGACUGGAAGAAGGAAAUUGAAAUUCACUGAGCAUCUAUACUAAUACUAUGAGUGGUACUAGAAAUAUUAGAGAUUAGGGGUGAGCACCUCAAUCCCUAACUCCAAGGAGUGCCGCCUGGUAAAGUGUGGCAGAAUCUGGAAUGGGGUUUGCCAUCAUUCUGUUGGAGAAGGAAGGGUGAGCCUUUGGGAAGCUUCUCUGAGAGGUGACACCUGGGAAGGGGGCUGCAUGAGGAGGAGUUUAUCAGGCAGAGGGGGAGAGGAGGUAAAGAUAUAUGGGGAUCUUAUGGGGUGUUGGGUGUGUUGUAUGAAAAUGUAAUCUCCAGCCCUAACCAGUUUGGCUCAGUGGAUAGAGCAUUCGCCUGCGGACUGAAAGGUCCCAGGUUCUA
This is a long non-coding RNA of Myotis lucifugus (little brown bat), 964 nucleotides long. RefSeq lists it as uncharacterized. Lineage: Eukaryota; Metazoa; Chordata; Mammalia; Chiroptera; Vespertilionidae. The transcript has 3 exons. The record is from RefSeq and is a predicted model, not a curated record.